RNAcentral lists this ribosomal RNA (253 nucleotides) under uncultured bacterium. Its description in RNAcentral is "partial 16S ribosomal RNA". It matches the Rfam family "Bacterial small subunit ribosomal RNA", at positions 524 to 776 of the family's 1533-position model. The record is from RNAcentral.
UACAGAGGUCUCAAGCGUUGUUCGGAUUCAUUGGGCGUAAAGGGUGUGUAGGUGGCGCGCUAAGUCGGGUGUGAAAUUUCGGAGCUUAACUCCGAAACUGCAUUCGAUACUGGCGUGCUUGAGGACUGGAGAGGAGACUGGAAUUUACGGUGUAGCAGUGAAAUGCGUAGAUAUCGUAAGGAAGACCAGUGGCGAAGGCGGGUCUCUGGACAGUUACUGACGCUGAGGCACGAAGGUCAGGGGAGCAAACGGG